RNAcentral lists this ribosomal RNA (891 nucleotides) under uncultured Gemmatimonadota bacterium. RNAcentral describes it as "bacterial SSU rRNA". It matches the Rfam family "Bacterial small subunit ribosomal RNA", at positions 8 to 893 of the family's 1533-position model. Lineage: Bacteria; Pseudomonadati; Gemmatimonadota. The record is from RNAcentral.
AGGGUUUGAUCAUGGCUCAGGACGAACGCUGGCGGCGUGCUUAACACAUGCAAGUCAAGGGGGCGGAGCAAUCCGCAACCGGCGAACGGGUGCGUAACACGUGAGCGACCUACCUCCUUGCGGGGGAUAGCCGGCCCAACGGCCGGGUAAUACCGCAUACGCUCUUUGGGGGGCAUUCCCUGGAGAGGAAACUUCCGAGGCGGGGAGAGGGGCUCGCGGCCUAUCAGCUAGUUGGCGGGGUAAUGGCCCACCAAGGCGGCGACGGGUAGCUGGUCUGAGAGGAUGGCCAGCCACAUUGGGACUGAGAGACGGCCCAGACUCCUACGGGAGGCAGCAGUGGGGAAUCUUGCGCAAUGGCCGAAAGGCUGACGCAGCGACGCCGCGUGGGGGAGGAAGGGCUUCGGCUCGUAAACCCCUGUUGCCCGGGGCGAACAUCCCUUUUCGAGGGGACUGACGGUACCGGGUGAGGAAGCACCGGCUAACUCCGUGCCAGCAGCCGCGGUAAUACGGAGGGUGCGAGCGUUGUCCGGAAUCACUGGGCGUAAAGGGCGCGUAGGUGGCUUUUCAAGCGCGCGGUGAAAGCCCGGGGCUCAACCCCGGGUCGGCCGUGCGGACUGGGAGGCUUGAGCACUGUAGGGGCGGGUGGAAUUCCGGGUGUAGCGGUGGAAUGCGUAGAGAUCCGGAAGAACACCGGUGGCGAAGGCGGCCCGCUGGGCAAGAAGGCUCGCAAGAGCCGGCUGACACUGAGGCGCGACAGCGUGGGGAGCAAACAGGAUUAGAUACCCUGGUAGUCCACGCCGUAAACGAUGGGCACUAGUGCUUGGGGGAGCGACCCUCCGGGUGCCGGCGCUAACGCAUUAAGUGCCCCGCCUGGGGAGUACGGCCGCAAGG